RNAcentral lists this long non-coding RNA (803 nucleotides) under Vulpes vulpes (red fox). RNAcentral's name for it is "lncRNA (ENSVVUG00000014549.1)". The record is from RNAcentral. Lineage: Eukaryota; Metazoa; Chordata; Mammalia; Carnivora; Canidae.
AAAGAAAGAAAGAAAGAAAGAAAGAAAGAAAGAAAGAAAGAAGAAAGAAAGAAAGAAAGAAGAAAGAAAGAAAGAAAGAGAGAAAGAAAGAAAGAAAGAAAGAAAGAAAGAAAGAAAGAAAGAAAGAAAGAAAGAAAUGAUAUAAUCUUGCUGCAUAUGCAGUUGUUCACAGUAAGUCUUCCAAGUUUGUUGUAUGCUUAAAAUUUUAACAUAAAAAGCUGGAAGAAAAAAGGAGAAGGAGGAGCAGGAGAUGGAAGAUUAUUUCAUCAAAUAGCUUCUCUUUCCUUAUUUCUCCCCUUCAUGGAAGUACUAUUUAUAGUGAAAUGCAGUAUUCAUAUCUCUGAAAAAUAAAGAAGAGGGAAUGAGCAGGACAUGAUUACAAAUGAUGCCUCCAUUAAGAAUUUCCAUCUUUUUUAUGUUUCAGGUUUAAAUUUAUGCACUAUGACUCAGGGAAAGAAAGAAUGUAGGUGUAGGGGUGCCCCACUCAUUUCCAGCCUGAAGCGGGAUCACUCUGUGCACACCCCAGGGACCUCUACAAAAGCCUGUACCUGGCUCAGGAGGACCUCCUGCCCCUUCACUAGGACUGAAACACAAACUAUUCACAUGGAGAAGGAAGGUCCUGUCCUCACAGUCAUGAGAUGGGCAGAUGCCAUGGUCUAGCUCCAGGACAUAUGCUGUAUGGAUUUUCUUCUCCAGAAAUGAUGACAUGGUAAGGUAACAAACACCUCUGUGAUGGCAAGGAUUUCUGGUGCACAGUUUGUCUAUGGAAUUUACAACAAUCUUAGAUGCAAAAAGACCUACCU